RNAcentral lists this long non-coding RNA (376 nucleotides) under Zostera marina. RNAcentral describes it as "long non-coding RNA (ZMAR_LNC004290)". Lineage: Eukaryota; Viridiplantae; Streptophyta; Magnoliopsida; Alismatales; Zosteraceae. The record is from RNAcentral.
AGGUAACGGUUUCUGAUAAUAUAGACUAUAGUCAUACUAUAGAUUCUGAAAUAAAAAUAAUAAUCCAAAAAACCGUCACAACGUAUUAGAUAUAAUCGGACAUUUUAUAAAGUAACUGUUCUUUUAUUAUUCAUAGUAUGAUAACAAGCAUGAUGCAAAAGUGAUACAGCAAACAACACAGAUUAACAGUUACAUGUAAUUCCUCAUGACGAAAUAGUUACUUGCAAAGAGUAACACAUGAUUUGAGGUCAUUUACACACUGCUCUUCAAUACAAUUGAAGUUGAAAGCUUGGCAAGUCACAAAAAUACAGGUCACGAAUGGAUUUCGACAAUUAUCCAAACAUUGACCCAAUCCCACCUGCUGCCCAUUCACAUA